Molecule: ribosomal RNA, 306 nt
Filed under: uncultured bacterium
Lineage: Bacteria
Description: bacterial SSU rRNA
Rfam family: Bacterial small subunit ribosomal RNA
Source: RNAcentral
AUUGAACGCUGGCGGCAUGCCUAACACAUGCAAGUCGAACGGUAACAGGCCCUUCGGGUGCUGACGAGUGGCGGAUGGGUGAGUAAUACUUAGGAAUCGUACCCUGUAGUGGGGGACAACCCGGGGAGACUCGGGCUAAUACCGCAUACGCUCUACGGGAGGAAAGCGGGGGACCGCAAGGCCUCGCGCUAUUGGAUGAGCCUAAGCCCGAUUAGCUAGUUGGUGGGGUAAUAGCCACCAAGGCAAUGAUCGGUAGCUGGUCUGAGAGGACGACCAGCCACACUGGGACUGAGACACGGCCCAGAC